CAUCGAUGUCUACGGAGAGAGUAAGAUGAAUAGGAUUCGAACGCUAACAAUCUUCGAAAUGACAACCACUUCCUCGUCGACGACAGCAUAAUUCACCUUAUAGUAUGAAGUCAGAUCGUUCUUCUUCUUCUUCUUCUUGGAAAAGAGUAGAGACACUGACCG
Long non-coding RNA from Telopea speciosissima, 162 nucleotides. RefSeq lists it as uncharacterized. The transcript has 4 exons. Lineage: Eukaryota; Viridiplantae; Streptophyta; Magnoliopsida; Proteales; Proteaceae. The record is from RefSeq and is a predicted model, not a curated record.